Molecule: ribosomal RNA, 301 nt
Filed under: uncultured bacterium
Lineage: Bacteria
Description: partial 16S ribosomal RNA
Rfam family: Bacterial small subunit ribosomal RNA
Source: RNAcentral
CAGCAGCCGCGGUAAUACGAAGGGUGCAAGCGUUACUCGGAAUUACUGGGCGUAAAGCGUGCGUAGGUGGUGGUUUAAGUCCGUUGUGAAAGCCCUGGGCUCAACCUGGGAAUUGCAGUGGAUACUGGGUCACUAGAGUGUGGUAGAGGAUAGUGGAAUUUCCGGUGUAGCAGUGAAAUGCGUAGAGAUCGGAAGGAACAUCUGUGGCGAAGGCGACUAUCUGGGCCAACACUGACACUGAGGCACGAAAGCGUGGGGAGCAAACAGGAUUAGAUACCCGAGUAGUCCCUGUCUCUUAUAU